RNAcentral lists this ribosomal RNA (495 nucleotides) under uncultured bacterium. RNAcentral's name for it is "partial 16S ribosomal RNA". It matches the Rfam family "Bacterial small subunit ribosomal RNA", at positions 28 to 507 of the family's 1533-position model. The record is from RNAcentral.
GACGAACGCUGGCGGCGUGCCUAAUACAUGCAAGUAGAACGCUGAAGGAGGAGCUUGCUUCUCCGGAUGAGUUGCGAACGGGUGAGUAACGCGUAGGUAACCUGCCUGGUAGCGGGGGAUAACUAUUGGAAACGAUAGCUAAUACCGCAUAACAGUAGAUGUUGCAUGACAUUUGCUUAAAAGGUGCAAUUGCAUCACUACCAGAUGGACCUGCGUUGUAUUAGCUAGUUGGUGAGGUAACGGCUCACCAAGGCGACGAUACAUAGCCGACCUGGGAGGGGGAUCGGCCAAACUGGGACUGAGACACGGCCCAGACUCCUACGGGAGGCAGCAGGAGGGAAUCUUCGGCAAUGGACGGAAGUCUGACCGGGCAACGCCGCGGGAGUGAAGAAGGGUGUCGGAUCGUAAAGCUCUGUUGUAAGAGAAGAACGAGUGUGAGAGUGGAAAGUUCACACUGUGACGGUAUCUUACCAGAAAGGGACGGCUAACUACGUG